UAUGGCAGACUAGUGCAAAGGCUUUAAACUCCUUUUAUAAAGACCUUAAAUCUUUUAUUAAAA
This 63-nucleotide transfer RNA is filed under the name Crematogaster sp. N SPQ-2003. RNAcentral describes it as "tRNA-Leu". The record is from RNAcentral. Lineage: Eukaryota; Metazoa; Arthropoda; Insecta; Hymenoptera; Formicidae.